Molecule: unclassified non-coding RNA, 1260 nt
Filed under: Hevea brasiliensis (rubber tree)
Lineage: Eukaryota; Viridiplantae; Streptophyta; Magnoliopsida; Malpighiales; Euphorbiaceae
Source: RNAcentral
GGACAUAAAGGUUGGAGGAAUCACACUGCCAAUCAUGAAACAAGCUCUCUUACAAGCAAAAGAUGGUCGAAAGCACAUUCUUGCUGAGAUGUCAAAAUGCUCACCACCCCCUUCAAGAGAGCUGUCGAAAUAUGCUCCGCUCAUCCAUGUUAUGAAGGUUAAACCAGAAAAGAUAAACCUUAUAAUUGGCGCCGGUGGAAAGAAGGUGAAGAGCAUUAUUGAAGAAACUGGUGUUGAAGCUAUUGAAACACAAGAUGAUGGUGUGGUGAAAAUAACUGCAAAGGAUUUGUCAAGCCUGGAAAAGUCAAAAGCCAUCAUAAGUAAUCUAACAAUGGUUCCAACUGUUGGUGACAUAUAUAAGAACUGUGAAAUUAAAUCGGUUGCGCCUUAUGGUGUUUUUGUGGAGAUCGUGCCUGGACGAGAGGGAUUAUGCCAUAUCAGUGAGCUGAGUGCAAAUUGGCUAGCCAAGGCUGAAGAUGCUUUCAAAGUUGGAGACCGCCUGGAUGUCAAGCUCAUAGAGAUCAAUGACAAGGGGCAGCUUCGCUUAAGCCGACGUGCAUUACUUCCAGAUGCUGAGACCGAGAGACAAAGUACAAAACCACGCAGUGGUAGCCUUUCAAAUGACAAUGCAGUUUCACCAAAAAUUUCAGACAAGGGUAAAUUAAAGAAAGCUGUGACCGUCUCAAAGGAGAGUGAGAAUCCUCUGAAGGAGAAAACAGUUCCGGUCAACAUAUCAAGCCCAGUGAAAGAAGCAGACAAGAGAUCAGUAAGUCCAUAAAAAGAUGGACCAGACAAGUCCCAAUCAAAUAUAAGUGGCGGCAACAUCAGUCAAUGGAGAGUCAAAAGUUGUAUAAGAAAGCUAUAAUGAGGGAUUAAUUUAGUCUCAUUUUGAAAAUGUGGCAGGUGACUGUCCUCUCAGUUGGAUAUUAAAGAGGAUGGAGAGUUGGGAAGAAUUGAGUUAUUGGAUAGGCUGAAAUUCAGAUAGUUCUCUUUUUAUCAAAUUGAGAGGGGGGAUAUGAUUCAAGCUGACAUGAGAGUAAGCAGGUUGAUUCUGAUAUUUUCAACAGCGGAAAAAAAUGUAAAUGCAGUAAUUUUCUCGGCGACAUAUGCAUCCCUGAUCAAGAUGCAUUUUUUCGAAAGAAAGACCAGUACGAUCAGCUUGCUUAUACAUCCAUGAAGCUUUUUUUCAUCUCUGCCUGUAACCAUUCUGAAUGUGAUUGAAGUUAGUAAUUUCAAGCUGUUUUUCACUCUUUCCUUUCA